RNAcentral lists this ribosomal RNA (1189 nucleotides) under Enterococcus faecalis. RNAcentral describes it as "bacterial SSU rRNA". It matches the Rfam family "Bacterial small subunit ribosomal RNA", at positions 330 to 1501 of the family's 1533-position model. Lineage: Bacteria; Bacillati; Bacillota; Bacilli; Lactobacillales; Enterococcaceae. The record is from RNAcentral.
CAAGGACUUCCUACCGGGGAGGCCAGGCAGUAAGGAAUCUCGUCAUUGGACGAAAGUCUGAACGAAGCAUGACGCGUGAGUGAAGAACGUUUUUCGAUCGUAAAACUCUGUUGUUAGAAGAAGACAAAGGGACGUUAGUAACUGAAACGUCCCCUGACGGUAUCUAAACCAGAAAGCCACGGGCUAAACUACGUGCCAGCAGCCGCGGUAAUACGUAGGUGGCAAGCGUUGUCCGGAUUUAUUGGGCGUAAAGCGAGCGCAGGCGGUUUCUUAAGUCUGAUGUGAAAGCCCCCCGGCUCAACCGGGGAGGGUCAUUGGAAACUGGGAGACUUGAGUGCAGAAGAGGAGAGUGGAAUUCCAUGUGUAGCGGUGAAAUGCGUAGAUAUAUGGAGGAACACCAGUGGCGAAGGCGGCUCUCUGGUCUGUAACUGACGCUGAGGCUCGAAAGCGUGGGGAGCAAACAGGAUUAGAUACCCUGGUAGUCCACGCCGUAAACGAUGAGUGCUAAGUGUUGGAGGGUUUCCGCCCUUCAGUGCUGCAGCAAACGCAUUAAGCACUCCGCCUGGGGAGUACGACCGCAAGGUUGAAACUCAAAGGAAUUGACGGGGGCCCGCACAAGCGGUGGAGCAUGUGGUUUAAUUCGAAGCAACGCGAAGAACCUUACCAGGUCUUGACAUCCUUUGACCACUCUAGAGAUAGAGCUUUCCCUUCGGGGACAAAGUGACAGGUGGUGCAUGGUUGUCGUCAGCUCGUGUCGUGAGAUGUUGGGUUAAGUCCCGCAACGAGCGCAACCCUUAUUGUUAGUUGCCAUCAUUUAGUUGGGCACUCUAGCGAGACUGCCGGUGACAAACCGGAGGAAGGUGGGGAUGACGUCAAAUCAUCAUGCCCCUUAUGACCUGGGCUACACACGUGCUACAAUGGGAAGUACAACGAGUCGCUAGACCGCGAGGUCAUGCAAAUCUCUUAAAGCUUCUCUCAGUUCGGAUUGCAGGCUGCAACUCGCCUGCAUGAAGCCGGAAUCGCUAGUAAUCGCGGAUCAGCACGCCGCGGUGAAUACGUUCCCGGGCCUUGUACACACCGCCCGUCACACCACGAGAGUUUGUAACACCCGAAGUCGGUGAGGUAACCUUUUUGGAGCCAGCCGCCUAAGGUGGGAUAGAUGAUUGGGGUGAAGUCGAGCAACGUAUGC